This 244-nucleotide long non-coding RNA is filed under the name Nicotiana benthamiana. RNAcentral describes it as "long non-coding RNA (NBEN_LNC040034)". Lineage: Eukaryota; Viridiplantae; Streptophyta; Magnoliopsida; Solanales; Solanaceae. The record is from RNAcentral.
CCUUCAUACUCCUUGUUCCCUUUUUCAUAACAUUGGAAUGCAAUGCAUUCUUUUCGAUCGUGUACUACGGUACACUGAAAAUCUGGACAAAAAAGAAAGUGAAAGCGAGUAGAUCUCCAACUUACCUCCUAAAAGCCCUGAGGCUUUCUUGGAACUCAUUCAUAGGCACUUUCCAUUAGCUAGACUUCACUUUUGAAAUAAAAAAAGAGUUUCAGCGUGCAAUAGAAAGCAGAAGAAGAAGGAG